CCUUGAAAUACCACCCUUUAAUGUUUGAUGUUCUAACGUUGGCCCGUUAUCCGGGUUGCGGACAGUGUCUGGUGGGUAGUUUGACUGGGGCGGUCUCCUCCUAAAGAGUAACGGAGGAGCACGAAGGUUGGCUAAUCCUGGUCGGACAUCAGGAGGUUAGUGCAAUGGCAUAAGCCAGCUUGACUGCGAGCGUGACGGCGCGAGCAGGUGCGAAAGCAGGUCAUAGUGAUCCGGUGGUUCUGAAUGGAAGGGCCAUCGCUCAACGGAUAAAAGGUACUCCGGGGAUAACAGGCUGAUACCGCCCAAGAGUUCAUAUCGACGGCGGUGUUUGGCACCUCGAUGUCGGCUCAUCACAUCCUGGGGCUGAAGUAGGUCCCAAGGGUAUGGCUGUUCGCCAUUUAAAGUGGUACGCGAGCUGGGUUUAGAACGUCGUGAGACAGUUCGGUCCCUAUCUGCCGUGGGCGCUGGAGAACUGAGGGGGGCUGCUCCUAGUACGAGAGGACCGGAGUGGACGCAUCACUGGUGUUCGGGUUGUCAUGCCAAUGGCACUGCCCGGUAGCUAAAUGCGGAAGAGAUAAGUGCUGAAAGCAUCUAAGCACGAAACUUGCC
RNAcentral lists this ribosomal RNA (609 nucleotides) under Escherichia coli. RNAcentral's name for it is "partial 23S ribosomal RNA". It matches the Rfam family "Bacterial large subunit ribosomal RNA", at positions 2190 to 2798 of the family's 2925-position model. The record is from RNAcentral. Lineage: Bacteria; Pseudomonadati; Pseudomonadota; Gammaproteobacteria; Enterobacterales; Enterobacteriaceae.